UUCCCUAGAGUGGCGCAAAUUUUGGUCGGUUGAUGUGGCCUUCCAAGUAAAACCGCUGUACAGAGGUUCAUACUCUUCGUAUGCUAAUUUUGGGCUCCUCUAGCAUUAAAUCCUCACCCUAACCAAACUCUGCCUCCUGCUCCUUUUGAAUUCUGCUGGAAGAUUUUUCCGGUUCAGCCGAAAAAUACAGUAUAGAAUCAAAAUUUUGCCAACGUAUAUGUGAUAAAUAAACAGGUAUCCACAGAAAUGGCUCCAAGAACACGGGGAUUUAUAAGUGAGGGUGCAAAGCUAUUUUAAUGGCAGAGUUAAAGGUAUCUGAAAGCAAGGACUUGACGCGCAUUGAGCGCAUAGGUGCACAUUCGCACAUAAGAGGGCUCGGCUUGGAUGACACACUCGAAGCCCACAGUGUUUCGCAGGGGAUGAUAGGUCAAAAAUCAGCUAGAAAAGCGGCAGGUGUCAUUCUCGAGAUGAUCAAGGAAGGGAAAAUCGCAGGCCGCGCGGUUCUGCUGGCCGGCUAGCCUGGCACCGGCAAAACCGCUAUUGCCAUGGGCAUGGCUAAAGCUCUAGGCGAAGAAACUCCCUUCGCAAUGAUGGACGCUAGCGAGAUAUUUUCAUUAGAGAUGAGCAAGACCGAGGCCUUGACACAGGCUUUCAGGAAAGCAAUAGGUGUCAAAAUUUAGGAAGAAACAGAGAUUAUUGAAGGAGAGGUUGUUGAGAUUCAGAUAGACCGACCAACUGUUGCAUCAAAGAUUGGGAAAUUAAUGCUGAAAACGACAGAGAUGGGACUAUGUAUGAAAUGGGAAGCAAGAUGAUUGAGGGUUUGAACAAGGAGAAGGUCUAGAGUGGAGAUGUUGUAGCAAUUGAUAAGGCUUCUGGGAAGAUCACUAAGUUGGGGCGGUCUUUUGCCAGGUCUAGGGACUAUGAUGCCAUGGGGCUGCAGACCAAGUUUGUACAAUGUCCUGAUGGGGAGCUGCAGAAGCGCAAGGAGGUGGUGCAUUCUGUUACACUGCAUGAAAUUGAUGUCAUCAAUAGCAGGUUAGCAAAAUUUCAGCUAUAAGAAGGACAAUUUCAAGAAGUACCUACUCUCAAAAUUUAGAAAUCCUAGCAAACUCUUCUCAGUUUUGAACCCUCAAUUGUAUUAUUUUUCAAUCACACUCGUUUAAGCUACUUAGGGUUUUCUCCUUUAUACAAAAAUUUGACAAGUUCUUGAUGGAAAAUUGACAAAUGAAUUUUGUUUUGUAGAAGUGGAGUCAGAUUUUCAUUGAAAUAAAAGUAGUUGUAUAAAUUUUUUCUCA
Molecule: long non-coding RNA, 1295 nt
Organism: Cryptomeria japonica (Japanese cedar)
Lineage: Eukaryota; Viridiplantae; Streptophyta; Pinopsida; Cupressales; Cupressaceae
Exons: 2
Source: RefSeq, a predicted model, not a curated record